RNAcentral lists this ribosomal RNA (305 nucleotides) under uncultured bacterium. Its description in RNAcentral is "bacterial SSU rRNA". It matches the Rfam family "Bacterial small subunit ribosomal RNA", at positions 334 to 631 of the family's 1533-position model. The record is from RNAcentral.
CAGACCUACGGGGCGCAGCAGUAGGGAAUUUUCGUCAAUGGGCGCAAGCCUGAACGAGCAAUGCCGCGUGAACGAGGAAGGUCUUCGGAUCGUAAAGUUCUGUUGAAGGGGAAAAAGAGCGGAGAGAGGAAAUGAACUCCGAUUGAUAUUACCCUUCGAGGAAGUCACGGCUAACUACGUGCCAGCAGCCGCGGUAAUACGUAGGGGGCAAGCGUUAUCCGGAUUUACUGGGUGCAAAGGGAGCGUAGGCGGUUUAGCAAGUCAGAAGUGAAAGCCCGGGGCCCAACUCCGGGACUGCUUUUGAA